Molecule: microRNA precursor, 86 nt
Organism: Gorilla gorilla gorilla (western lowland gorilla)
Lineage: Eukaryota; Metazoa; Chordata; Mammalia; Primates; Hominidae
Source: Ensembl
CUUACAUCACACACAGAGUUAACUCGAAAUGGACUAAUUUUUCCACUAGUUAGUCCAUUUCAAGUUAACUCUGUGUGUGAUGUAGU